Molecule: long non-coding RNA, 2781 nt
Organism: Tympanuchus pallidicinctus (lesser prairie-chicken)
Lineage: Eukaryota; Metazoa; Chordata; Aves; Galliformes; Phasianidae
Exons: 3
Source: RefSeq, a predicted model, not a curated record
AAGACUGAUUUGCUCAGACUUGGGAGCACAUUUUAGUGAAAGACUCACUUCAUAUUCUCCAUAUUCUGACUUUUCCGACUGGCAGCAAUUAGAGACAGGAUUUUAAGUUUCCUGGGCCCUUAGUAAGAAAUGGCCUCCUGUGUUUUCUUUUACCAUUGCCCAAAAGGGAAAUCUCUGUAUUUCUGAGAAUGCUGUGCUUGCUUCUGCAUGGUCUUGCAGACUUUUUCCUUCCUUGCUUCAAUUUUAUCUUCUACUACUGGAGUAAAUGGUCAGAAUGCCUGUAGUGUUGGGAGCUAGGCUAUGUUUUGUAGAUGCUGUUCAGGUGAAGAAGACAUCAGUCUCUGAAUUCUUAAGCUUUUUUUCUUUCAGGAUGCUCCCGUUCUCCUCUUUUCAAAUAAAAUAGCUCUUUUUUUCUUCCUAAGCUGCCAUUUCUGUAGUUUUUACCCAUUUUUGCUCCCUGUAGUUCCUAGCAGCAUUGCAGCAGCUAAGCCUCAAGCAAUAAGGAUGGGUUAAAUACAAGACUGAUGGAAGAGGGUGAACCAGGACCACUCCUGUUUCAAGAGAUGGGUAUAAGACUAACAGCAUGGGCACAAACCAGAGUCCUGAUCUGUGCUCAGCUCACCUGUGUGAAUAAUAGAAGAGGAUUUCCUCUAUUAAGCAUAGCCCCAGUUGGAAUUGACUCUGGAGUUCAGAAAUCUUAGUUUGAGUUUUCUCAGCAACACCUCCAGAGAGGUUUCCAAACUCUGACCCACUGAUCAAAGGCCUUGUACAAUUUGCUAAAUAGCUGGAGUGCCAAUUGGAGUUCCUACCUGCAAGGUAAAGAGACUGGGGCACACCAGCUGGGAACCAGGCUGUUCAGCAGCACCACUUUUGGCACUGGGCACAGUCAGGUGGCACAGUUUCUGGCUAUGUGGAAUAUUAUGGUAUCUUGCCAUGCAAGCAACAAUAAGAGGCUUUUCACCACUCAGCGCUACAGCUGUGGUUCACUGGGAGGAAAAAAUGCUGGGAAAAUGAUGAGUGAUGACCUCCUAAUUGUGCUGAAGUGGUCAGAGUUGAUGAGUGUGUUGCUGCUCUCAGAAGGUUAUUCAGCUCAUCCAGCUUUCCAAGGCACCUGCUCAACACUUCCUUUAAAAGAUGGACUUUGAGUCUUUACCUGCUCCUGAUGUGCAGCCAUGGUGGAAUACCCAGAGUCUCUCUUCAUCUGAAAUAAGAAGUGAGCUGAGUGAGCUUUGUACAGCUGCAGGGUGGAAGAAUGCACCACUAACAACAGCAAAUCACUUCAUCUGCAAGUUUAGUUGCAAAACUGAGGUAUUUACUCUCUGUGCCCUGUCCAUCCUUCAUUAUUGUACAAGAAAAAAAACUUCUACAGAAAGCCUUACAAAAGUUCCCUUAUUUCCUGAGGUGAGUUAAGUGUUUUACCAUAAUGCUGAUGGGGAUGUAAGGGUAGCAAACUAAAAUGGAAGAACAGCCCAAACCAAAGCUGGUGUGCUGCAGUACAGCUCUCUCCCUCGAUCUGUCCCAGAAACACACUGCAUUCUGUAGGAACUGCCCUGCAAAGGCUGACAAGCAAACGAUGACACGAGACGACUGCUCUACUAUAAGGCAGGAAUGCUGCUAAACUGACAUCGAUGAAAACCAAAAAACCUGACUACUACAAUGUGAGCUUGUGCCAUGAAGUAUUAAUGCAGCAGAACACCGUGCAGCCCUCACCCACGUGGCAGAGGAACUGGAAGAUACAGCCCCAGAGCAUGGUGAGAAAAUCAUCACUGCUUUAAGUCCAGCCGUGGUUGAUAAUGACCGAAAUAGCUGUCAGUUUCAGGAUUAAAACCUGAAGGGCAGGUGGCUGCCUCACGAUAGACCUCCUUGCGUUUGGCUCCGACUGGACUGUUGAUUGUCACCUCUGAAUUUAGCAGAGAAAAAAAGGAAAGCAUCGAGCACAAGGUUGAAGGAGCUGCUGGGUCUGAACUGCUCUCCUUGGCCACAGAAAGGUCAGUUUCAGGAGGUGUGCUGUGCCUGCCAUAGGGAUUAUUGCGUAGCUGUUUUCAUAUUGCUGCACUCUUAUCAUAAACUGUAAUUAGCGAAAGCUAAGAGAACAUUCCAUAAGGUUUUCUUGGUUUCACACAGACAUUAAGAAAAAAGCACGUGAAUUCUAAUAACAGGAAUUACAGAUUUACUGAGCAUGGCACAAUUCGAGCUGUUUUGCUCUUCAUACUUGGAACAAUAAUGAAGCACAGACAAACUAUGUUACCUAAGGUAACAAAGGAGUGUACAAAGAAGACUCCAAGGCACCUGUAUAAGGUACAAACAGUUAGAAAAUGGCUAAUUAGAGAGAUGAUGUUUCGUUACCUUUGUGAUGAUAGCAAGCGUCUUGGGAGUAUUCUUCUUGCCGUGUUUCAGAAAGGAGGAAUUCACUGCCAAAAAGAAACCAUCAUGUUAUCCAGGAGACUGGACUUUCUGAGUACAGCCUCACAAAUGUGACUCUGUCUAUUCAAGUGUUUCCAGCUCUGUUUCCCUACAAGAGAUUAGUCUGCAGAUCAAUGGGCAGCAGAGAGAAAAACUGGACUCCUUCCUCCUACUUGUAUCCCUGCUCGCUCAAGGACAGAAAAAGAUGAGGCCAGUCCACCAAACUACUGAAGUGAAACAGUUCUGGGAAGAAAAAAGAAAAAAGACAAAAAGACAAGAAGACAAGAAGAGAUCUGACAUGGAAGCACAAGCCCUAACUCCCAACCCUGUAUUUCAACACUGGAGUUGUAAAUAUUCCAGUGGGAAGAUGAGAAGAAA